RNAcentral lists this unclassified non-coding RNA (210 nucleotides) under Hevea brasiliensis (rubber tree). The record is from RNAcentral. Lineage: Eukaryota; Viridiplantae; Streptophyta; Magnoliopsida; Malpighiales; Euphorbiaceae.
GCAGUGAUAAAGAGCGACUCUUCUUGGAGGAGGUUGACAGACGACAAAAAUGAGCAUUGCCAUGACUAGAGCCAGCAACAGUGGCAUCAACAAAUCAUCUGAAUCUGGAGCAGCACCCCAUUUUUGCAUUCAACUUCCAAUUUCUGUGAUUGUAUUUUGUAAAUGCAACAAUCAGAAGGGCAAAGAAUGAAAUUGCAGACAGAGUAAGAG